RNAcentral lists this ribosomal RNA (496 nucleotides) under uncultured bacterium. Its description in RNAcentral is "partial 16S ribosomal RNA". It matches the Rfam family "Bacterial small subunit ribosomal RNA", at positions 29 to 507 of the family's 1533-position model. The record is from RNAcentral.
AUGAACGCUGGCGGCGUGCCUAAUACAUGCCAGUCGAGCGAACAGAUGAGGAGCUUGCUCCUCUGACGUUAGCGGCGGACGGGUGAGUAACACGUGGAUAACCUACCUAUAAGACUGGGAUAACUUCGGGAAACCGGAGCUAAUACCGGAUAAUAUAUUGAACCGCAUGGUUCAAUAGUGAAAGACGGUUUUGCUGUCACUUAUAGAUGGAUCCGCGCCGCAUUAGCUAGUUGGUAAGGUAACGGCUUACCAAGGCAACGAUGCGUAGCCGACCUGAGAGGGUGAUCGGCCACACUGGAAGUGAGACACGGUCCAGACUCCUACGGGAGGCAGCAGUAGGGAAUCUUCCGCAAUGGGCGAAAGCCUGACGGAGCAACGCCGCGUGAGUGAUGAAGGUCUUCGGAUCGUAAAACUCUGUUAUUAGGGAAGAACAAAUGUGUAAGUAACUAUGCACGUCUUGACGGUACCUAAUCAGAAAGCCACGGCUAACUACGUG